UAACGAAAACAGCAUACGUUCCGUAUAAUUAGUGGGGAUAUGGCCCACAAGUUUCUACCGGGUGACCGUAAAUCAUCCGGCUACGGGAGAAAGCAUACCUAGG
This 103-nucleotide non-coding RNA is filed under the name Clostridiaceae bacterium. RNAcentral describes it as "Guanine sequence". It matches the Rfam family "Purine riboswitch aptamer". Rfam says of the family: Riboswitches are metabolite binding domains within certain messenger RNAs that serve as precision sensors for their corresponding targets. Allosteric rearrangement of mRNA structure is mediated by ligand binding, and this results in modulation of gene expression. The record is from RNAcentral. Lineage: Bacteria; Bacillati; Bacillota; Clostridia; Eubacteriales; Clostridiaceae.